AUGGUGGUUGCAGAAAAGAUAGGACCAACCAGUAGACAAGGGAAGACUGAAGAAGCAAAGCAGCCACAACCAAACCACCCAUGCAGGAUCAAAGUACAAAACAUCUGUAGAGGUUACGAUUCUGGCCACAGAACGAUUUCUUGUUCCUACCCAGGUUGGCUCAGGGAUCUGGACAUAAAGCUGUCUCUCGGUACUGCGCCUGACGUGACCAGUUUGACCUGUUUCAGAAUUGCUAGUACAGGACAUUUUACCAGUGUGAGCGGUGGAUGCAAGGAAUGACAUGGAUGCUCCAGCCAGAGGACAAGGGUGGAAACUGGAGGGGCAGAGCAGCCACCGCUGAACCACUAGGAUCGCGAAACUGUUGGUAACAC
Molecule: long non-coding RNA, 371 nt
Filed under: Betta splendens (Siamese fighting fish)
Lineage: Eukaryota; Metazoa; Chordata; Actinopteri; Anabantiformes; Osphronemidae
Description: lncRNA (ENSBSLG00000006919.1)
Source: RNAcentral